AUUUAAAUAGUUUAUUUAAAAAUAUUGGUUUGUGGUGCCAAAGAUGUAAAAAUUUACUUUGAAUA
RNAcentral lists this transfer RNA (65 nucleotides) under Uleiota sp. BMNH 833935. RNAcentral's name for it is "tRNA-His". Lineage: Eukaryota; Metazoa; Arthropoda; Insecta; Coleoptera; Silvanidae. The record is from RNAcentral.